RNAcentral lists this unclassified non-coding RNA (222 nucleotides) under Hevea brasiliensis (rubber tree). The record is from RNAcentral. Lineage: Eukaryota; Viridiplantae; Streptophyta; Magnoliopsida; Malpighiales; Euphorbiaceae.
AAACCACUAUUGCACAUAUGAUAAACCACUAAGCAGCUCUAUCAGCAGCUGAUAAUUGAAUUACAUAUGAAUACAUCUCAGGUAAAUUUCUCAGAAGAAUCUUAAGUGGAAAUGCCUACAAGCCUACACCUACCACUAAAUAUAUUAUUUUUUAAUCAAUACAUAAAAAUUAUAUGUAUUCUAAAAACCUAGAAGUAAAGAAUCUAGUUACUUGAAUCUCCA